Long non-coding RNA from Pogonomyrmex barbatus (red harvester ant), 757 nucleotides. The record is from RefSeq and is a predicted model, not a curated record. Lineage: Eukaryota; Metazoa; Arthropoda; Insecta; Hymenoptera; Formicidae.
GAGAGAGAGAGAGAGAGAGAGAGAGAGAGAGAGAGAGAAAGUUUCAGUGCAGAUAAGACACUUCGGAGCGCGUUGAACUCAUAACGCUCUUAAUUAAGCGAGUUUUAUUACUAUAAUUGUCGCGUAGGCAGAGCAUGCAUUCUUUAGAAUGAUGCAAUUCUCGAGAACGAUACCCCCACCCCUCCAAGAUCUUCGAAUUUAUGAACAUCUGACGCAAUCGCGAUCAAUACUUCUGUGCGCGGAAUAGCCUUUGGAAAAAGAGAUAUAAUACAUUUCUGAUAUACGAAACUGUGAGUAAUGUAAUUUCAAAAACAAAAACAGACGACUGACGUAUCUGGCGCAUCGACGGGAUAUCGAAUGGCGACUCGAUAGGAUAUCGAAUAUUCCGAAAACGAACGGAGCGCAUGUGGCUCCUUCGGUACGUACAAAGAAUUCGUAACGCGAAUUAAAAAAAAUAUCAUCAAACUUUGAAUCAGCAAAAAUAUACGCAGAGAGCUUUUGUCGCGUACAUGCGUUUCACAAGAGGCUGAUGAUAAUUCAAUUUAGCGAGUUACUUUGUUAGGAAAGCCGUCACGUUUCAUCCAGGAAACUUAAAAAUGCAACGUGCGCAUGGAGGAAAAGUCUAGACAUAUUUCCCGAAAUCAUUUAAGACUUCCUCUCCCGCAUUUUUCUUAUGAAGUACAUUACAGCGUGAGGAUCAGAACAGGAAAAUUUUACUGUGGAUUAUUAAGAGACAUAUGCUUGUAAAAAAAAAAAA